UUCUUCUUUCUUGUUCAGAGUUCUUCUCCCUUCCUCCUCUCUCUCUCUCUCGAUGACCACCGUCAUGGGUCUCAAGAGACCCACGACCACCGUCUCUUGAGACCCCGGCCGUGGGUCUCUUGGUAGGGCUCGAGAGAAGAUCCACCAAUCCGCCAGGUUUGCCCAGCCCAAGUCCAUCUUCUUCGGCGUGUUCAUCAAUUCCGCUCAUGGACGGGACCGGCUUCAGCUCCAUGAAGGUGCAUCCGGGUCUUUUGAGACUCAGCCGUGGGUCUCUUGGCAGAGCUUGAGAGCCCUCGUUCAUCUGCCCAGUGAGAAUCAAGGUCCAUGAGUUGUGUCAGAAAUCGAAGGCCAAGCUGCUGAACCAGCUCAAGGAUCUCAAGGCGGAUCUGCCCUCCUCCGCGUCACCAAGGUCACCGGUGGUGCACCCAACAAGCUCUUCAAGAUGUAUUCUCUUUCUCUCUCUGGUUUUAUUUUCGAAAAGCAAAGUCUUUGUUUAUGAUAUUGCUGUUGGUAUUUUUUGGGGGAUUUCCUGGGUAAUACAGAAAGGUGGUGAGGCUGUCGAUUGCGUAAGUGUUGACAGUGAUAUCAUAGAAGCAGGAGGUUCUGAGGGAAGUUUACAAGAAUACUUCGAGUUUAAUUCAUGUAUUUUUUUUAUGCUUUGUAACUUUAAGCUUUACUGGUUUCAUUUCUUCUUCUUCUUCUUUCCAUAUUUUUUUUCUUCCCUUUGGUUGUGGUAACUCUAAAUGGAACUGGCAUUGAGGCUUUUGGAUCAAAGUUUUGAAGGAUUGCUCAAGAUAUUGAA
Alnus glutinosa is the source of this 802-nucleotide long non-coding RNA. RefSeq lists it as uncharacterized. The transcript has 2 exons. NCBI's taxonomy places the organism in Eukaryota, Viridiplantae, Streptophyta, Magnoliopsida, Fagales, Betulaceae. The record is from RefSeq and is a predicted model, not a curated record.